Molecule: ribosomal RNA, 465 nt
Filed under: uncultured bacterium
Lineage: Bacteria
Description: partial 16S ribosomal RNA
Rfam family: Bacterial small subunit ribosomal RNA
Source: RNAcentral
GACGAACGCUGGCGGCGUGCUUAACACAUGCAAGUCGAACGGAAAGGCCCUGCUUGCCGGGUACUCGAGUGGCGAACGGGUGAGUAACACGUGGGUGAUCUGCCCUGCACUUCGGGAUAAGCCUGGGAAACUGGGUCUAAUACCGGAUAUGACCUUCCAUGUAGUGUGGGGGGUGGAAAGAUUUAUCGGUGUGGGAUGAGCCCGCGGCCUAUCAGCUUGUUGGUGGGGUAAUGGCCUACCAAGGCGUCGACGGGUAGCCGGCCUGAGAGGGUGGACGGCCACAUUGGGACUGAGAUACGGCCCAGACUCCUACGUGAGGCAGCAGUGGGGAAUAUUGCACAAUGGGCGGAAGCCUGAUGCAGCGACGCCGCGUGGGGGAUGACGGCCUUCGGGUUGUAAACCUCUUUCGACAGGGACGAAGCUUCCGUGACGGUACCUGGAUAAGAAGCACCGGCUAACUACGUG